Non-coding RNA from Malus domestica (apple), 1911 nucleotides. The record is from RefSeq and is a predicted model, not a curated record. NCBI's taxonomy places the organism in Eukaryota, Viridiplantae, Streptophyta, Magnoliopsida, Rosales, Rosaceae.
AUAUAUAUAUAUAUGCAUGUGUGGGUGCAGCGCAUGCUAAUGCAUGCUGUGUGUAUGUGUGUGUUUAUAUAUGUAUAUGUAUAUGCAAGUGUGUGUGAGCAGUGCAUGCUUUGCAUGUGUGUGUGUGUUGAUAAGUAUGGGUUGGGCUCAAGCCCAAACCACCUCUUGAUCCUAACCUAUCCAAAUCCAAAAUCUAUUUCCAUUUCCUAAAAUUCUAUCUUUUGGGUAGUUUACUAAAUUGUACAUUUUCGUGCUUAGGUGAAGUUGCUAGUGGAGACUUUCUUAAUCAUUUUCCGCACAAUUCUGCUGCUACGGAGUAUCUGUGAGUGGACCACCUUCGAAAAUUGCAUGUUUUUAUUGAUAGAAAUGCAUAAUUUAAUAGCAUGCCUUGCAGAAUUAUUGAUUUGAGGAAUACUUUACAGGAAGCAUGAUGAUUUGAUUAUACGUGAUUAUAUAUAUAUGUUUUGAAUUAUUUCCAUUAUAUCGUAUUUUCUAUAGAACCCUCAUUCUAGUAGACUAUCUGAUCGAUGACGAUAGGAUGCUAAGAAUGUGUUUCAAAUGACUUUCGAACACCUCUUCGUAGUAUAGAGGAUCGAUGAAUUUAUGCUACGAAGUUGUAUUUUAGAGAUGAAUUAUGUUUUGUGCGUACCUAGUGAACACUAUGCCGCCUGGGGCGAGGAUCUGGUGUUGGCAUUGAGGCCGGGAGAAAUAAUCCCUAGCGAAAGGCUGAGGGACACGGAGACAGGCAUUGGGCCGGGAGGGAGAUAUCUCUGGCUACGGGCACAGAGACUGAGGUGCAGGCAUUGGGCCGGGAGUAUUGUUAUUCAGUGCACUCACUAGCAGCACAACUUGUGUUAUGCUUCCUGAUACGAUUUCUGAUACGAUUUCUGAUAUGAUUUCUGAUAUGAUUUUCUGAUAUUGAUUUGCAGAUGGAUAUAUGAAUUGUUUUUAUGGCAUGCUAGAGGUUUUGAGAAACCUAUCACUUAUUAUUUAGUAGUUUUCAUUAUCUUAACUGUGGGGGUUAGUAUGUUCAUAACUAUUUUCGUACUAUGUAUGUAUAUAAAUUUGGUCCACUCACCCUUGUUUUGCGCCCCCAUUCAGGAACUUGAAACGAGGCAUAGAAUCCCGGCAUUAAGGUACUUCCGCAGCGGCAUCUUCGAGUCCUCUCGGGGUGUCGGCCAGCACGUGCCUAUCCUGAUAUUCGGGGAAUAUCGGGGUCGGGGCGUGUCAGAUUCUUCCCGGUCUUCGCCAGUUGCAACAAAGCCCAGCUGGGUAUCGAAGAGAAAUGGCAAUCAAACUUCUGUCAGGGUGUUGUUGCCUUUGGAGCAAUUGGAGAGAAAAUGGAGAGCACCACAGAGAGAAGUGAGAGCUGCCGAGAGCAGAGAGAGAUGCAGAGAGCCUAAAACAAGAAAGAGCUGCUGCUCCAUUUGUUAGUAAUCAUCCACCAAGGUGUUGUUGUUGUAUUAGCUUUGAGCUUUGUAUAGAGAGGAAAUUAUUCACAAUAUUUCCUUCUCUAUUUGUUUCUUUGGUGUGUGAGAGCUAUUGGGUGUAUUAGGCAUUUGGGUUGUGAGCUUGCCAACACUUUGUAAACUCCCAUUUAGUUGAUAGUGGAUUAUUAGGUGAGCUCCUACUGCUCCAAGGACGUAAAUGAUGAAAAAAAACGCUGACGGAAGGGGAUAUUUCUUCUCGAUUUCGAAUAAUAACACAACAAAACCAGUUGCGAGUAGAGAAAUGCUUUCAUUUACACAACAAAACUAAGUCGGAACAUUCAACGCUCAAGAACUCCAACCAAACUCUGCAAUUCUCACAUCUUAUAUACAUAUACUUGUACUCCCGGAAAGCAUACGAAGAAAAAAAGACGCAGAUGAAGCGCAAUCACGCAGUGAGCUUCUGGGAAGAUUUGACAGCAUU